RNAcentral lists this ribosomal RNA (494 nucleotides) under uncultured bacterium. Its description in RNAcentral is "partial 16S ribosomal RNA". It matches the Rfam family "Bacterial small subunit ribosomal RNA", at positions 28 to 507 of the family's 1533-position model. The record is from RNAcentral.
GACGAACGCUUGCGGCGUGCUUAACACAUGCAAGUCGAACGGUGAAGCGCCUUCCUUUUUGGUGGGUGUGGAUGAGUGGCGAACGGGUGAGUAACACGUGAGUAACCUGCCCCCUUCUUCUGGAUAACCGCAUGAAAGUGUGGCUAAUACGGGAUAUUCUGGGUCUGUCGCAUGAUGGGUCUGGGAAAGAUAUUGUUUCGGUGGGGGAUGGGCUCGCGGCCUAUCAGCUUGUUGGUGGGGUGAUGGCCUACCAAGGCGGUGACGGGUAGCCGGCCUGAGAGGGUGGACGGUCACACUGGGACUGAGACACGGCCCAGACUCCUACGGGAGGCAGCAGUGGGGAAUAUUGCACAAUGGGCGCAAGCCUGAUGCAGCGACGCCGCGUGAGGGAUGGAGGCCUUCGGGUUGUGAACCUCUUUCGCCAGUGAAGCAGGCCUGCCUCGUUUGUGGGUGGGUUGACGGUAGCUGGAUAAGAAGCGCCGGCUAACUACGUG